This 490-nucleotide long non-coding RNA is filed under the name Panax ginseng (ginseng). RNAcentral describes it as "long non-coding RNA (PGIN_LNC018090)". The record is from RNAcentral. Lineage: Eukaryota; Viridiplantae; Streptophyta; Magnoliopsida; Apiales; Araliaceae.
AAAAAUGAAUAAAAAUAGCAUAGCCCAAGUCUUUUUUUAACAGCUGAACUUUAUCUGUAUUUUCGAUUUCGUCACCGCCGUGAAAAUUUUCCAACUCCGUCACUGAGCCUAAUACUAAAACCAUAAAUUAAUAAUAUCAACACUUCUUCUUCGUGUUAAUAAUCCACUCUCUUCCGUGCCUUUUGCAGGUGGUUGCCCUAGCAGGUAUAUUUCUUCGUAGGUAUCUGUUAUCUGUUAUCAAAACCCUAUAAUAUGUGAUUGAAUUGUCUUUCAUUUUCAAUAUUUUAGAUUCCCUAAUGUUUUCUAUUUGUUUGGCAAUGGGUAAAACUUAUUCUGAACCUGUAUUAGUGUAUGAAAUUGGGGGAAAGUAAUUGAUUGAAAUUGUAAUUCAUGUGCGUUGUAUGUGUUUUGUGUUUUUUGAUUUUCUUCGGCGGGUUUUCAAUUCACUGUUUGAAUGAUGAGGUUUUGAGGGAAAAUAGAGGGAUUUGAG